GAUGAACGCUGGCGGCAUGCUUAACACAUGCGAGUCGAACGGGAAGUGGUGUUUCCCGUGGCGAACGGGUGAGUAACGCGUAAGAACCUGCCCUUGGGGGGGGAACAACAACUGGAAACGGUUGCUAAUACCCCGUAGGCUGAGGAGCAAAAGGAGAAAUCCGCCCAAGGAGGGGCUCGCGUCUGAUUAGCUAGUUGGUGAGGUAAUAGCUUACCAAGGCGAUGAUCAGUAGCUGGUCCGAGAGGAUGAUCAGCCACACUGGGACUGAGACACGGCCCAGACUCCUACGGGAGGCAGCAGUGGGGAAUUUUCCGCAAUGGGCGAAAGCCUGACGGAGCAAUGCCGCGUGGAGGUGGAAGGCCUACGGGUCGUCAACUUCUUUUCUCGGAGAAGAAACAAUGACGGUAUCUGAGGAAUAAGCAUCGGCUAACUCUGUG
This 437-nucleotide ribosomal RNA is filed under the name uncultured bacterium. RNAcentral's name for it is "partial 16S ribosomal RNA". It matches the Rfam family "Bacterial small subunit ribosomal RNA", at positions 28 to 507 of the family's 1533-position model. The record is from RNAcentral.